GAUGAACGCUGGCGGCGUGCCUAAUACAUGCAAGUAGAACGCUGAAGGAGGAGCUUGCUCUUCUGGAUGAGUUGCGAACGGGUGAGUAACGCGUAGGUAACCUGCCUGGUAGCGGGGGAUAACUAUUGGAAACGAUAGCUAAUACCGCAUGACAACAGUUAUUGCAUGAUAACUGUUUAAAAGGGGCAACUGCUCCACUACCAGAUGGACCUGCGUUGUAUUAGCUAGUUGGUGAGGUAACGGCCCACCAAGGCGACGAUACAUAGCCGACCUGAGAGGGUGAUCGGCCACACUGGGACUGAGACACGGCCCAGACUCCUACGGGAGGCAGCAGUAGGGAAUCUUCGGCAAUGGACGGAAGUCUGACCGAGCAACGCCGCGUGAGUGAAGAAGGUUUUCGGAUCGUAAAGCUCUGUUGUAAGAGAAGAACGAGUGUGAGAGUGGAAAGUUCACACUGUGACGGUAUCUUACCAGAAAGGGACGGCUAACUACGUG
RNAcentral lists this ribosomal RNA (495 nucleotides) under uncultured bacterium. RNAcentral describes it as "partial 16S ribosomal RNA". It matches the Rfam family "Bacterial small subunit ribosomal RNA", at positions 28 to 507 of the family's 1533-position model. The record is from RNAcentral.